Molecule: long non-coding RNA, 501 nt
Filed under: Homo sapiens (human)
Lineage: Eukaryota; Metazoa; Chordata; Mammalia; Primates; Hominidae
Description: HSALNT0015730
Source: RNAcentral
CCAGCUCACCCCAGGGACACCUCCACCCUCUGCCCUUCAUGCAUGUACCACUGGGGAAGAAAUCUUGGCUCAGUAUUUACAACAGCAGCAGCCUGGAGUCAUGAGUUCUUCCCAUCUGCUGCUGACUCCCUGCAGGGUGGCUCCUCCUUACCCCCACCUCUUCUCAAGCUGCAGUCCACCGGGUAUGGUUCUGGAUGGUUCCCCCAAGGGAGCAGGUAUGUAGGAGGUGAAGAAAACUGAGAUUUCAAGUAUGGGAGAGUUUUUACUAUCUCCAUUCCUGGAUUAAAAGUGCUGAAAAAGUCCACAGUUAAACAUUCCUUUAUUCACCCUAUGGCUCCCAAGAAAAGCAUUCUUCCUCUGGAGUACUGGUGUACUAAGGGGACAAUACACCAAAUUUGUUGAGUUUACAAUCAAGUCUACUAAGGUUGGACUUCCUUAUCAGUUUGGCAGAGUCCCAGGGCAGAAUAAUCAUCCAUCUACAGGUCUCUGUUUCCUCUCCCU